CCUACGGGAUGCAGCAGUGGGGAAUAUUGCACAAUGGGCGCAAGCCUGAUGCAACCAUGCCGCGUGUAUGAAGAAGGCCUUAGGGUUGUAAAGAACUUUCAGUUGGGAGGAAGGCGUUGAUGCUAAUAUCAUCAACGAUUGACGUUACCAACAGAAGAAGCACCGGCUAACUCCGUGCCAGCAGCCGCGGUAAUACGGGGGGUGCAAGCGUUAAUCGGAAUUACUGGGCGUAAAGCGCACGCAGGCGGUUGAUUAAGUUAGAUGUGAAAUCCCCGGGCUUAACCUGGGAAUGGCAUCUAAGACUGGUUAGCUAGAGUCUUGUAGAGGGGGGUAGAGUUCCAUGUGUAGCGGUGAAAUGCGUAGAGAUGUGGAGGAAUACCGGUGGCGAAGGCGGCCCCCUGGACAAAGACUGACGCUCAGGUGCGAAAGCGUGGGGAGCAAACAGGAUUAGAUACCCCCGUAGUC
Molecule: ribosomal RNA, 465 nt
Filed under: uncultured bacterium
Lineage: Bacteria
Description: bacterial SSU rRNA
Rfam family: Bacterial small subunit ribosomal RNA
Source: RNAcentral